Molecule: ribosomal RNA, 256 nt
Filed under: uncultured bacterium
Lineage: Bacteria
Description: partial 16S ribosomal RNA
Rfam family: Bacterial small subunit ribosomal RNA
Source: RNAcentral
UACGUAGGGUGCAAGCGUUUGUCCGGAAUUAUUGGGCGUAAAGAGCUCGUAGGCGGUCUGUCGCGUCUGCUGUGAAAACUCAGGGCUUAACCCUGAGCUUGCAGUGGGUACGGGCAGACUAGAGUGCGGUAGGGGAGACUGGAAUUCCUGGUGUAGCGGUGAAAUGCGCAGAUAUCAGGAGGAACACCGAUGGCGAAGGCAGGUCUCUGGGCAUUAAACUGACGCUGAGGAGCGGAAAGCAUGGGGAGCGAACAGG